UCCUACGGGAGGCAGCAGUAGGGAAUCUUCCACAAUGGACGAAAGUCUGAUGGAGCAACGCCGCGUGAGUGAAGAAGGGUUUCGGCUCGUAAAACUCUGUUGUUAAAGAAGAAUAUAUCUGAGAGUAACUGUUCAGGUAUUGACGGUAUUUAACCAGAAAGCCACGGCUAACUACGUGCCAGCAGCCGCGGUAAU
Molecule: ribosomal RNA, 195 nt
Filed under: uncultured Lactobacillus sp.
Lineage: Bacteria; Bacillati; Bacillota; Bacilli; Lactobacillales; Lactobacillaceae
Description: partial 16S ribosomal RNA
Rfam family: Bacterial small subunit ribosomal RNA
Source: RNAcentral